This 4191-nucleotide long non-coding RNA is filed under the name Lynx pardinus (Iberian lynx). The record is from RNAcentral. Lineage: Eukaryota; Metazoa; Chordata; Mammalia; Carnivora; Felidae.
UUAUAAGUAUUUAUUUAUUUAUUUAUUUAUCAUAAGCCUGCUGCUGCUGGAGUUUUGGAAAUGUCCUAUAUCCGGCCCUGGGUAAGUAUUUAUAUGUAAAAACCAAAAUAUACAUUUAAGAUGUAAGUGCUCUACUAUAUGUAAGUUACACCUAUGUAAUCAAAAAGUUGAGAAUCACUUCAUUUACAAAUAACGUGUUAUUUUGUCAGUAUUAAUUUUUGCACAUGUUACAGUUUCACUUAGUUUUCUUUUGGACCCUCUCGGAAUUCCUAACAGUAAGUGACAAUGGUGGUUUGGGAGAAGAUGCACAUUUUUAACAGCCAUCAGUUGGAUCUCUGAGCUGCGCUUGCUCAGCUCUUCAGACGUGUCCCCAGCCUUCCACAUUAUGUCUCUUUCGCAAUGGAGAGUUUGCUAAAAGAAAUUUUUCUAGAGUUCCAUCGUACUUGGGGUUUUCCAUUCUUGGUAAACAGUGCCUCGGUCCCUUAUGUUUGACACACAGGUGGUCCCCUUCCUGCGAUUAUUGUAGAAAAACAAUGUAGAAUUGUAAAAUAUGUAAAACGAACCAGAAAUCCUUAAAUGAAAAAGAAUGAGGCCAAUACAAUGGAAGCCAUGAUCCCAAUAACAGAAAAUAGGAUCAUGUCGCUUUAUUUCUGAGCAGCUGGCCCUCCUGACCUCUUAAAAAAGCAACACAUUAAUGAUGCAUUCGCAAACAACUUGUUUUUACCUUGUGCUGACAGUCAGGCAAGUGGGAGGUUAGAGAAAAGAAGGGAAGGCCAGGCAAGGGGAUUGCUUUGCUGUACAGUCUUGGUUUCCCGGCCUUGGCUGAUGGAAUUAUUGUUUAUUUUUUUAAUUUUCAGAGGUAGGCUGAUGACAGCUGAAGAAGACUGUAUUUGCUGAGGAGCAGCAUGAUGGUAGAGAGGAGCAGAGCUCCUGAGGGAGACCUAAUGGUUCCUCUCCUUCCUGCACGGAGAUAAAGACUUAUAAUAAGCGUGCAUGUUCACCAUCUGGCUCUGUGCAUGUGGUCCUUAUGGAGGGGAAAGCAGCACAAUCUGUAAAUGAUCAGGAGCCAUGGCGCUCUCUCCAGAGAAUCCACGAUGCAAUCAAGGUGACAGAUGGCAUGGCCACUGCUGUGGCCUCAUGGAGAAGAUCAAAAUCACCUUCAAUAAACUCUGACUGAAAUGGGCAUGAGCACCUCAAAAAAGUCAGUUUGUCAGUCAAACUGCGACAGCAAGCUGCAUUGGGGAAACAUAGCGGCCAGCUCUCUGUUUUCAAUCGUUUCCGUCUGACUGGGCCUGAACUAUGAUCUUUCUCAAAUUGUCCUUUCUGUUUAGCUGAAGCAGGCCAGCAAAUUGCCAGAUUCAUUGCUUUAUUGAAGAAAAUUGAAAACACGAUGUCCUCAAUUCCGGGGACGCACGACUGGCAGGUGCUGGGACACCCAAGCGCUGAGAGUAGAUCCCCGUGUCUUCAGCCCAAGUUUGCUCAACUUUAGGCAGAUUUUUGGAUAUGAAAAUAAAAUGCAAAUAUGUGCCUGGCCUGAAAAGAUCAGCUGGCAAUGGAUAUGUGAAGGGUAUUAGAUGUCCAAUAAAUGUGUGUAGAAUAAACACAUGCUUGAAAGGAAAAGGAGGAAGGGAGGAAGGAAGGAAAGAGACAAAGUCUCCGUGUUGUUGGUUCCAUGUAUUUUGACAGCAGGCUGCCUUGAUGAUAGAUUCGCUCUCCAUUUCCUUUUCUGUGCAUGUUUAUCGAAUAUAGAUUGCUGUGAACUUGAAGCCUGGGACAUAAGAUCAGUGAAAUACAGGUGUAACAUUUUGUCCUAAACAAAUUGUAUAGAAUUUGUAGAGGUCAACGAGUUCAGACAAAUUUCGGUUUUUGACCCCCUUCCUUCCACAGCUGAAACAUUUUUGAAAGGUCCAACUGCUCAUAAAACUAGAAGGGGAUGAGUAAAAGUUACCUGUAGUGGGAGAAAAAUACUGUACUGUCUUUUUGAGAGGUAAGGGCACUGAUUUCAGGUCAAAGAUGAUGGAUCUUAAUGAAAGGACUCUCCCCCUCCCUCUCCCUCCUCCUCCCUUGGCAGAGUUCCACUGUUGUUCUUCCUCCCAAGCUCCAGGAAAUGUACAUUUCAAGCAAAAGUCGACUUUCCCAACCUUGUGGUUUCCCCAGAACCCUGUAUCUGUUCUCUGAUCCUGGUGUUUUAUAUUAUUAAGCCUGUGAGGAGAUCUCACAAUUCCAACAUCCCAUUGAUUUUCCUACUCGAGACCAUAAUCUUCUAGUUUGCAUACUUGCUUUAUUUAAAAUCCAAAUCCUGCUCCUGCCCCUGUCCCCAUACUCCAUGUUGUAAAUUAUUUGCUUGACAGCUGAGAAAUAUCUUACUAUUGGGUCCUGGAUUCUCAUAAUGGCUUUCUUUUCCCUCAUAGUUGCUUCUGAAUGCUAAUGUCCUGCUGUAGAGAUUUACAAACAACUGAAGGACUUCAGCUCUAAUCGGUGUACACAAAGCGAGAGAAACUAUGAAAAGGGGCUCAUAUUUUGAGUAACAGAAAUAGCAAGAACUUCAUAUAAGGACUGUCUUUUCACAGAACAUGUAAGUGUAGCUGACUUGUUAUGUGUCACAGUUCCAUGUGGUCUCCUGGGAGCCAGGGACUAAAUUUAUUCAGGAGGAAAUAUCUAUGGAGUGCUGAACACCUACUAGGUAUAGGCUGUGUCAGGAGCUGAGAAAUAAAACUUCAUAAAGAAAAGUAGGUAUCACACAGCACUUUUAUGGGCAUUCUCCCCUCAGGCUGGCUCUCUGCUGAGCCCGUUUGCAUUCUCAUCAAUAAUAGCUCUUGUGGAACACAGGACCCAGACGUGUGGGCUGGUGGGAGCAUGCUGUCCUGUCCCUGGAGACGCUGUGUGUAUUCUCCAUCCUGGCCUUUGGCUCUCUGGAAUGACAGGGUCUGUAAUAGACAUGUUCAUCAACACGGCCACAAGGAGGGGUGGCAGGAUGGGUCAUUUCUGUCUAUCGGUAGCAGUUUCUUCCCCCCAGACUCCAGCUGCUCACAUGGAGUUAUGCUUCAGAAAGGCAAAUGGGUCUAAUCCUUUCCUUAAGGAAAGGCCCCAUAAUCAUAUGGGGAAAUUCAGCAGGGGCCAGAAGGCUGAAGUAGCCUACACUGGAACACGAAUGUUGCGAGGCAACCAGCAGGAAAUUUAGUAAUCAGAGCUCAGCCUAAAUUCAGAUAAUUACGUUCAAAUUCUCUCUGGCAUGCAGUGUCACCUGAUCGUAUGCAAAUUGUGUAACCAUAUAUCAUUACUCUCUUUUAUGUCCUAUCAUUCCUAAAUAAUAAAUUGCUUAGAGAAAGUUUCUUGUGGUAAUUUGCAAAUGUGAGUCUGAAAGCAGAGCUUUUCCUUUAUAAUGCUGCACAUAUACCCUUGCUCUCUCGGCCCGUGGGUGCGGCAGGUAAGAAGAUAUGCAGAUCUUCAGAUCCCACAGGCUCUGAAACUCACAAGGAGGAUGGCUUGUGGUCAGAAUAUGGACAGUAGCUGCAACAUGGACUGAAUAAUUUUUAAUCAUGGAGAAUGCUUUUUAUUUUAAUGUUUUGAAAGAUUGACACAAUGCUGAAAGGAGAGGCUACACAGAAAUUUUAAAAGGUGCACACAAGAAGAUAAGCAAUCUAUUAAAAACUCAGAUUUUGAAAGCAUGCCAUUGGCCUGAAAUGGCCUUGGGGUAACAGUAAUAAAUGAAUGUUCAUUUCCCAAGUUCUCCGUGCACCAAGCCGUUUGGACUUCUCAAGAGGACAAUGCUGUCUUCUUUCAAAAGAGGGAGUAGAUGGCUUGCUACCACUAAAACAGCUCAGACAUAGCUCUACUGAUUUGGGAACAAAGAAAUGGAAUGUGGUUUUGUGUGUGUAGGAUGUCAUCAUAUGAGCUCACACCAGCUCUAAAUUGGGUAUUUGGAGGCUACUACAUCUUUUGGUCAGAUUUCAAAUCAAACCGCCAAUGUCUGCAUUUUUCUGUCCAUGCUUCUCUGAACAAGAAUGAUGGUGAAUGAGGAUGCCACCCUGUACCUCAAAUGUUUCUCAAGCUGCUGGUGUGUUUUGGUUCAGCUUUCAUGAUUUUUUAUACCAGUUUGUGACUUAAAAAAAAAAAGCUCUCAGCAAAAUAUUUCUGUUAUAGUAUGAUGUCGUGCUUAGAAAGGUUAAUAAACGUUUUACAGAACACAUU